RNAcentral lists this ribosomal RNA (465 nucleotides) under uncultured bacterium. Its description in RNAcentral is "partial 16S ribosomal RNA". It matches the Rfam family "Bacterial small subunit ribosomal RNA", at positions 338 to 795 of the family's 1533-position model. The record is from RNAcentral.
CCUACGGGAGGCAGCAGUAGGGAAUCUUCCACAAUGGACGAAAGUCUGAUGGAGCAACGCCGCGUGAGUGAAGAAGGGUUUCUGCUCGUAAAGCUCUGUUGGUAGUGAAGAAAGAUAGAGGUAGUAACUGUCCUUUAUUUGACGGUAAUUACUUAGAAAGUCACGGCUAACUACGUGCCAGCAGCCGCGGUAAUACGUAGGUGGCAAGCGUUGUCCGGUUUUAUUGGGCGGAAAGCGAGUGCAGGCGGUUCAAUAAGUCUGAUGUGAAAGCCUUCGGCUCAACCGGAGAAUUGCAUCAGAAACUGUUGAACUAGAGUGCAGAAGAGGAGAGUGGAAGUCCAUGUGUAGCGGUGAAAUCCGUAGAUAUCUGGAGGAACAUCAGUGGCGAAGGCGACUAUCUGGCACAUAACUGACGCUGAGGAGCGAAAGCGUGGGUAGCAAACAGGAUUAGAUACCCUGGUAGUC